GGAUGAGGGUGAUCUGGCUAUGCACUGAUGGCCAGUUGAUUUUGCUGACCCGGCUGACCCAGCAGGAGUCCCCUUCCUCACCUCCUCAUGGGUCCCAGAGGAAGCUGUGCUCUCAGGAGGAAAAGAUGACCGUCCCAGGUAAGAGGCUUACUGCUCUUCAGUCAAGGGUACACAGUAACUGCACACCCCUGAUAGACUCUUCCAACAAGAGACGAACAGUUACUUCUUACAGAAGACAGAGUAACAAAAGCUUUAACUGCUCAGUGCAAUCUACUUUCUAUACUGUUGCUG
Fukomys damarensis (Damara mole-rat) is the source of this 291-nucleotide unclassified non-coding RNA. Its record names the gene 7SK. It matches the Rfam family "7SK RNA". Rfam says of the family: 7SK was discovered as an abundant small nuclear RNA in the mid-70s but a possible function has only recently been suggested. NCBI's taxonomy places the organism in Eukaryota, Metazoa, Chordata, Mammalia, Rodentia, Bathyergidae. The record is from Ensembl.